UUUCAAAGGUUGACCUCGGAUCAGGUAGGGAUAC
RNAcentral lists this ribosomal RNA (34 nucleotides) under Ramularia vizellae. Its description in RNAcentral is "partial 28S ribosomal RNA". Lineage: Eukaryota; Fungi; Ascomycota; Dothideomycetes; Mycosphaerellales; Mycosphaerellaceae. The record is from RNAcentral.